This 301-nucleotide long non-coding RNA is filed under the name Homo sapiens (human). RNAcentral's name for it is "HSALNT0108753". Lineage: Eukaryota; Metazoa; Chordata; Mammalia; Primates; Hominidae. The record is from RNAcentral.
AAAUACAUUCUUUUUGUGAUUUUAAAAGAUAAAGCGUGUUAUUGUGAGAAAACAUGUACUUAUAUGUACUUAUGUAUAAUUUCAUGAAAAGUACAUGUAAACAACAACAACAAAACAGCAAUCUGCUCAUUGCCAAAAGAGAAAGUAUUCCCAUUGAGUACUAAACAACCACAAAUGUUUCCAUAAUCUGCUAUUUCAGAUAGUUUCAUGGGACCAAUUCCAGCAAGAUAUUAGAGGAUAUUUUAAAGCUUCUUGAAUCUGUAAAGUUACUAUGCACUAUAUUUAUUUUAAGACUUUAGGC